RNAcentral lists this long non-coding RNA (2172 nucleotides) under Solanum tuberosum (potato). RNAcentral's name for it is "long non-coding RNA (STUB_LNC003076)". Lineage: Eukaryota; Viridiplantae; Streptophyta; Magnoliopsida; Solanales; Solanaceae. The record is from RNAcentral.
AUAGACUAGGAUCUUACCCUCCAGCUCGAUGCUCCGGUAUAUUUGGGAACUGUAGUGCUGGUGAUUCAGAAAGGGAGCCCUUCAUUGCAGCGCACAAUAUGAUCCUAUCUCAUGCAGCUGCUGUCAGAAUUUACCGUACCAAACAUCAGGUUCGUUCAAUGGCUCUAGACGGCAUGAUCUUGCAGAAUUAGUCCAAAUGGAUUACCCCUUUAGUGCAACGCUACUUUCUGGCUUGUAAAUGACAUGAAGUGAAUUUUGUUGUUAGUAAAACAGGAAAAUUGAUACUUAGAAGACUAGAGCUCGAGAAUUUAUGCUUGGAAACUAAUUCCUCCUCUAUCUAUUAAAUGGUAUAUUGUAAAAGUUCAUUAAAAGACCAUACAAUUAGUAUCAGUAACUAUUUUAUGCUGGUUUUCAGAAAAGACAAGGAGGCAUGGUUGGAAUUGCUUUGGAUAUCCAAUGGUAUGAACCAUUUAGCAAUUCCUCAGAAGACAUAGCUGCAACUGAGAGAGCUCGGUCAUUCUACUUCAACUGGUAAUCUUUCCUUAUCAGUAGUUCAAUGCUAUAAUCUGGUUUCUUGUGCAUCAGAAAGAGAGGGAAAAAAUGUUAUUUUUUUACUAUGCAGGUUUUUAGACCCUAUUAUAUUAGGAAGAUAUCCCAAAGAAAUGGUACAAAUUCUGGGAUCUAAUCUGCCAAACUUUUCAAAGAAUGAUUUGAGCAAGCUGAGUUAUGGCUUAGAUUUCAUUGGCAUCAAUUACUAUACGGCUAACUAUAUCAAAGAUUGCUUAUAUGCUGCCUGUGAACAUGGAAACACUUGGUCAGAGGGUUCCUAUUAUGUUACUACAGAAAAAGACGGUGUCUACAUUGGCCAACCUGUAUGUUUUCUCAUCUUUUAACCCACUCUGUCAAACCAUUGCUAUAUUUUUAUUUCCCCCCCCCCAACUUUAAAUGAAUCAGACAGGUGCGCCAUGGAUCUUUCUGUACCCACAAGGGAUGAAAAAAAUUGUGAUGUACAUGAGGGACAGAUUCAAUAAUACUCCAGUGGCUAUCACCGAAAAUGGUAAGAAUUUCACAUUCUGUCAUUUAGAAGCGCAGUUUAUCAAUUAAUAACUUGAACGAGAUGCAUUUGACACAAUUGGCUAUGUUGCAGGUGUUGCUGAGAACGAUGAUCUGAAUACUUCAAUAACAGACACCUUGAACGAUAUUCAUAGAGUGAACUAUAUGCAUAGCUACUUAAAUUCACUGUCAAAUGCAAUUAGGGAAGGUGCAGACGUGAGGGGGUACUUUGUUUGGUCCCUUCUCGACAACUUUGAGUGGCUACAUGGAUAUAGGCUAAGAUUUGGACUUCACUAUGUCAACUAUACUAAUCUUCAGAGAAUACCAAAAUUAUCAGCUACCAUGUAUAAACAACUAAUGUAUAACUUCAACAUACAGCUUGAAACACAUACUGCCCAUAACUAGUGGGAGAAGAUGAUGAAAAGCGGAGGUUUGUAAAGAUUAUUUUCAUUUCGGUGUCUUGUUGUUGGAAGACAGUUUAUUUGGUAAUGAAACAAAUAAGUGUUCAGCCUGAUCCUUGCCUUCAUAUUGCAAGAGUUAAGCUCAAGCCUAACCUUGUAUUCACUGCAAUGGAACUGUAAUUAUGCAAAAAUAUUCUGUUGAAAGAGGGUGUCUCAUACUUGAAUGCUAGUCUUUAUGGACUAUAACUUGUUGGCGUAGAGACCCAGCUACAUUAGCUUGAUAUUUCAUGAUCAAAUAAACAAUAAAUAUAAGACAAACUAAUAAUGACAAAAAACAAAAUCAUCCAGAUUCUUACUUGAGAACCCACAAAAAGUUAUCGAAUAUGAAUAUUCCCUUUCAAUAACGCCAUAUAUAUUAAAGUAACAAGUAAGUUUUGAAAAGUAUAAGGGAUCAGUGAUUCGAGUAUUUCCACUUCUUUUCAUCUUUCACAAUUCCAAGUUGCAACUCAUCGGUCUCCAUAAGGAACGCUUUAAUUUUCGUACGAGUCUUUAUUUAGAUUAAUCGGGAUUAGUUGAAUUCCGAAUGAACCACCUCUGCCUUAAAAAAGGUGAAAAAGAAAGAAGACAACUGCAACACAUUAACAAAUGACUCUUUUCUCACUUUACAAAAAUCUUAUUGUCCUAUUUGAUUGAUGGCUUGGAGGUGACAAAACAUAAA